UACGGGGGGAGCAAGCGUUGUUCGGAUUUACUGGGCGUAAAGGGCGCGUAGGCGGCCUCUGCAAGUCGACUGUGAAAUCUCCGGGCUUAACCCGGAAAGGUCAGCCGAUACUGCAGGGCUAGAGUGCAGAAGGGGCAACUGGAAUUCUCGGUGUAGCGGUGAAAUGCGUAGAUAUCGUCAGGAACGCCAACGGCGAAAGCAGGCUGCUGGGGAUGCAUUGACGCUGAGGCACGAAAGCCAGGGUAGCGAACGGG
RNAcentral lists this ribosomal RNA (254 nucleotides) under uncultured bacterium. RNAcentral's name for it is "partial 16S ribosomal RNA". It matches the Rfam family "Bacterial small subunit ribosomal RNA", at positions 524 to 776 of the family's 1533-position model. The record is from RNAcentral.